CUUCCAUCAGCUCUCCUACCUCCAUCAGCCCAUGUGAAAAAUGGAAAAAAUUGUUGUCUUUAGAUUCUCUCUGAAUAAUUAGCAGCGGAAAAAAUUUCCCCGGAAUCCGGCAAUGUCUUCGCCAGCCCUGGAAACCUCUCCCCCUGUUCCAACUUCGCCUUCCACUGUUCCCACCUCGCCUCCAGCUACGAACUCCCCGUCACCUCCGCCGCCACCAUCGCAGACUAACUCGACUGCUUCGUCUCCGCCACCGGAGACCAACUCCACUGUUUCAACGCCUCCGGUGACUAACUCAACCUCUUUUCAGCCUCCACCAUCGUCGGAUUCUACGAAUGGCUCGACGACGUCUUUUCCACCGCCGUCUAAGGGGCUACCUCCUGGUGCUCUGGCGGGGCUAAUUGUGGGAAUAGCUUUGGGAGCAAUAAUUGUACUGGUUGCUAUGGGCAUUUUCUUCAUUUGUUACCGGAGAAAGAACAGAAGGGAGGCUCUGAGUUCUAAAGAUGACCAUAACAGACGCCCGCCACAGCAUUGGCAACAGAAUCACCCUCCACCUACAGACAAUAAAGUGACGUCGCUGCCUAACCCUGCCCCUCCCCCAGGAAUCUCUUUAAAGCCCUGUCAGUCUCCAGUGCUUGGUCCUGCUUCCCAUGAACCUCCUUCGACAAGUAGCAGUUUGGGCUUUGAGAAGACAUCUCCUGGAAUUCUUGGACUUUCACAGGGUACCUUUUCUUAUGAAGAACUUGCAAUAGCAACUAAUAGUUUCUCCGAUGCAAACCUUGUUGGUCAGGGUGGUUUUGGUUAUGUCCACAAGGGAGUCCUUCGUGAUGGUAAAGUGGUUGCAAUUAAGCAGCUUAAAGCAGGGAGUAGACAGGGGGAACGUGAAUUUCAGGCAGAAAUUGAGAUCAUUAGUCGUGUCCAUCACAGACAUCUUGUUUCAUUGGUUGGAUACUGCGUUACUGGAGCCCAGAGGAUGCUUGUAUAUGAAUAUAUUCCAAACAACACCUUGGAAUUCCAUCUACAUGGAAAGGAGAGACCAACUAUGAACUGGUCAACUAGAAUGAAAAUUGCUGUAGGCUCAGCAAAAGGAUUGGCUUACUUGCAUGAAGAUUGUCAGCCCAAGAUCAUACACCGUGAUAUCAAGUCAGCCAAUAUUCUUCUUGAUGAUAGCUUUGAAGCAAAGGUAUAGAGCAAACAAAAAGAAUUUCUUCAUAUGAUUCUUGAUGAUCUUUCAGUAUAGUUUUGGUUUCUCUUCAAUAUCCACAAUCCACCAAAUGUAUUGAAGUUGAAUAUCAUAUAUUAUUGAAGACAAUCUUAAAUUGCCUCUGUCCUUCCCUCUUUAUAAGAAGUAAUGAAUAGUCCAUGUUUCUCUAAUUCUCAUGUGCCAUAUACCCUUUUUUUUAUGAAUGUUUAUGAGGAUGUGAUUUUAUCCUUAAUGGAGUAUAUAUAUAUAUAUAUGUUGUGAUGAUGGUGGAACCACAAUUUGAGUGCUUAAUAUGUAUCCUUGGAAAAGUGAAAAUUGUGGACUCAUUUCAGGUUGCCAUCUCAAACUAUAUGGUUUAACUUUAUUCAAUUUGAUUCUCCUUAAUAUCAAUCCGCAUGUACCUUUUUUGUUAAGGUUGCUGAUUUUGGACUUGCCAAGCAUUCUUUGGAUACUGAUACUCAUGUCUCCACCCGAGUGAUGGGAACUUUUGGGUAUAUGGCUCCAGAGUAU
Molecule: unclassified non-coding RNA, 1711 nt
Filed under: Hevea brasiliensis (rubber tree)
Lineage: Eukaryota; Viridiplantae; Streptophyta; Magnoliopsida; Malpighiales; Euphorbiaceae
Source: RNAcentral